Bombus terrestris (buff-tailed bumblebee) is the source of this 866-nucleotide long non-coding RNA. RefSeq lists it as uncharacterized. Lineage: Eukaryota; Metazoa; Arthropoda; Insecta; Hymenoptera; Apidae. The record is from RefSeq and is a predicted model, not a curated record. The transcript is spliced from 2 exons.
AAAUGGUACAGUUUGAAGAGAAAGAUAGCAGAGAUCGAAGCACGACAAUGAUUGACAGCCGAAAGUACAACGUCAGUCUGCCUAACGAAUCUAAGUCCUCGAAGCGCUCUGAGAUUCAACGUAGUAUUCGACAAAUUUAUGACUGAUCCUCCUCGGUUGCUGCGGCUUCAGCGUUUCUAUGUGGUUAGCUGAUAUCUUUAUUUGUUCAUUUGCUAUCGUACCUAUUGUUAUCGUACGAGAAAUGAUCAAACAACCGAUAGAUUUUCCCGCGAGUGGUUGUACAUUAUAAUCGUGUUGAACGUGAGAAUAAUAGCAAUGUUGUGUAUGGAAAAAUUGCUCAAAUGACCAUGACAAUAAAUGAUGUAAUAUCGUGUAGGAUUGUGUUGUUAUUGACAGUAUGCGAGAGUAGUGAUUAAAGUAAGUUGCUAUUUUUACUACGGUAUUUACUGAAUAACUAAUUGCGGCUAUCGACUAUUUGCGAUUAGCAUGCUAUCGAGUUAAUAGGAAAAACAAAAUGUUUGUCUAAAAAUAUAUAAUAAUUGUAACUAUAAGGUUAAUGGUUUAUUUGAAAGAGAAGAAACGAAGAAGCAGCUUUAAAAUGAUCCGAAGAUAUGAAAAAAUUCAUACGAUAAAAUUAAAUAGUUUUUGUGAUAACUGUAUUAAAAUGAUGUUAAAGUAAACUCUAUUGUUUUAAUUAAAGCUACAUAUACAGUCGCAUCGGAAAAUAAGUUAACGAUCUUACAUUUAAACUUUUUGCUGGAGCGUUAAUUUACUUUUUGCGAUGACUACAUAUGAUUGUUAUAUAUAAAUCGAUAUGUCCUGGGCUUUUAUAGAAAUUAAAAUUUUUGUAAAAAUAUACUAUAUAA